GAUGAACGCCGGCGGUGUGCCUAAUACAUGCAAGUCGUACGCACUGGCCCAACUGAUUGAUGGUGCUUGCACCUGAUUGAUGAUGGAUCACCAGUGAGUGGCGGACGGGUGAGUAACACGUAGGUAACCUGCCCCGGAGCGGGGGAUAACAGUUAGAAAUGACUGCUAAUACCGCAUAAGCGCACAGUGCUGCAUGGCACAGUGUGAAAAACUCCGGUGGUAUGAGAUGGACCCGCGUCUGAUUAGCUAGUUGGUGGGGUAACGGCCUACCAAGGCGACGAUCAGUAGCCGGCCUGAGAGGGUGAACGGCCACAUUGGGACUGAGACACGGCCCAA
RNAcentral lists this ribosomal RNA (336 nucleotides) under uncultured bacterium. Its description in RNAcentral is "bacterial SSU rRNA". It matches the Rfam family "Bacterial small subunit ribosomal RNA", at positions 28 to 334 of the family's 1533-position model. The record is from RNAcentral.